This 795-nucleotide ribosomal RNA is filed under the name uncultured bacterium. Its description in RNAcentral is "bacterial SSU rRNA". It matches the Rfam family "Bacterial small subunit ribosomal RNA", at positions 24 to 802 of the family's 1533-position model. The record is from RNAcentral.
UCAGAUUGAACGCUGGCGGCGUGCUUAACACAUGCAUGUCGAACGAGAAAGUUCCUUCGGGAAUGAGUAGAGUGGCGCACGGGUGAGUAACGCGUGGAUAAUCUACCGGGGAGUGAGGAAUAACAGUUGGAAACGACUGCUAAUACCGCAUACGCUGCAUAUUAUGAUUUAUGCAGGAAAGGAGGCCUCUGCAUAUGCUUCCGCUUUUCGAUGAGUCCGCGUCCCAUUAGCUGGUUGGGGGGGUAACGGCCCACCAAGGCGACGAUGGGUAGCUGGUCUGAGAGGAUGAUCAGCCACACUGGGACUGGAACACGGCCCAGACUCCUACGGGAAGCAGCAGUGGGGAAUAUUGCGCAAUGGGCGAAAGCCUGACGCAGCGACGCCGCGUGAGGGAUGAAGGUUCUCGGAUCGUAAACCUCUGUCAGAAGGGAAGAAAUUAUAUCAUGCUAAUCAGUGGUGUAUUGACGGUACCUUCAAAGGAAGCACCGGCUAACUCCGUGCCAGCAGCCGCGGUAAUACGGAGGGUGCGGGCGUUAAUCGGAAUUACUGGGCGUAAAGCGCACGUAGGCUGUAUGACAAGUCAAGGGUGAAAUGCCACGGCUCAACCGUGGAACUGCCUUUGAAACUGUCAAACUGGAGUAUGUGAGAGGGCGGCGGAAUUCCUGGUGUAGGAGUGAAAUCCGUAGAUAUCAGGAGGAACAUCAGUGGCGAAGGCGGCCGCCUGGCACAAAACUGACGCUGAGGUGCGAAAGCGUGGGUAGCAAACAGGAUUAGAUACCCUGGUAGUCCACGCUG